GCUUGUCUCAAAGAUUAAGCCAUGCAUGUCUAAGUAUAAGCAUCUUAUACGGCGAAACUGCAGAUGGCUCAUUAAAUCAGUUAUAGUUUAUUUGAUGAUUACCUUACUACAUGGAUACCCGUAGUAAUUCUAGAGCUAAUACAUGCGCAAACGGGACUCCGCAAGGGGCCCAGUAUUUAUUAGAUUAAAAACCAUCUCCACAUGGUGAGUCAUAAUAACUUUUCGAAUCGCCGCUCUGCGACGAUAGAUCUUGCAAAUUUCUGCCCUAUCAGCUUUCGACGGUAGUGUAGUGGACUACCGUGGCGUUAACGGGUGACGGGGAAUUAGGGUUCGGUUCCGGAGAGGGAGCCUGAGAAAUGGCUACCACAUCCAAGGAAGGCAGCAGG
Molecule: ribosomal RNA, 386 nt
Filed under: uncultured fungus
Lineage: Eukaryota; Fungi
Description: partial small subunit ribosomal RNA
Rfam family: Eukaryotic small subunit ribosomal RNA
Source: RNAcentral